This is a long non-coding RNA of Daphnia magna, 1354 nucleotides long. RefSeq lists it as uncharacterized. The transcript is spliced from 2 exons. The record is from RefSeq and is a predicted model, not a curated record. Lineage: Eukaryota; Metazoa; Arthropoda; Branchiopoda; Diplostraca; Daphniidae.
CUAAGAUUUGGGAGGUCCCCGAACUGUCGUCUGCUAGGCCUGUUUUUGGCUGUUCGUCUGCUAUUUCUGCGGACAAAUUUUGGGGCACUCGCUAGGGGCGCUGACUGUCCGGAUCAGUCAUAACAUUUCCCUCCAAAACGUUGUUAACAACGAGAAAAGUAGUUGCUUGUCACAGUCUUCUUCUGGACUAAGCCACUAAAAGGUAACAAUUCUUAUUUAUGUUACGUUAUCAUGUAAUGUUUUCAUGUUAGUGGCUUUUAAGUGUGAUCAUGGUGUGAUAGUUAAUUGUUAAAAGUUUGUUUUAUUGUUGCAUAGGACUCCCACUUUGCUCUCAUGUGUGUGGAAUGUCAUUCAUAUUUCUCCUUUUUUUAGGUUACAGAAGAUGCCUAAUCGUUGUUUUGUGCCUAAUUGCAACUCGGGAUUCCCUGGGUCCACUACGACUGAAAAGGUGGCUUUUUUUUCAGCUUCAAGGGAUUCUAGCCUGCUUCAACGUUGGAAGCUGCGAGGGAAAAAAAUGUAGACAAAAAAGAAGAUUGGGACCUUCUCUAUGUCUUAUGGCAACAUAUUUUUGUUGUUGUUGGUGAAACAAAAGACUUUUUAAGUCAGUAGACACAGCCCGGAGAUUUUAACUUUCUCCAACACUUUCUCCAAGACACCGCUGUCGGCGGAGAAUGUUUACUCUACGUGUUGUAGAAUACAGCAAAUAUUACCAUUCAUGCCUCAAGUCAACACCACGAAAGAAGCCAUUCAAUUAAUAAAUUGAUUCUUUGGAUGAUGCUUCAAAAGUGGUGAAUGGGGCCUGGGUGUAAUUGUAAACGUUUCAGUCCUUUUAUUAAUCAGUGGAACACGUUCCGUAGAUGAUUUCUUUUCUCUGGGGCAAUAAGAUAUAAUCUGUUUGACUUUUCCCUUCUAUGCGAACGAAAGAAAAAGAGAAAUGUUUCAGCAAGACGUUAAUGUUCCACGCUGCAUUACAGAGAUACAGUUACGAACAUCUGGUCAUCUUUGACGAUUUAUGAGUCGUUUCAUCCUGUUAUUACCUUGACCAAUGGAACUUUGAAUUAUUGCACCCCGCGCUUCGCUUCGCAGAUGCGACGCAGAUUUAAGUUGGCGAAUAGUGAGGUUCGCCGAGUGCAAAGCAACUGACGCAAUAUAACGAGCACCCUUCAAAGUUUAGAUAAAAUAGUUGUAAGUUAAUCUAAAACAAUUGGAAAAUCUCAUAUUUCAUAUACCAUUUAAAAAAGGGAAAAACAUUGGCCACCCCUAACCUUAAGCUGCGCAAACUGUCUAAAAUGGUAAAUUAAUUUGUAUUAAUGUAUAUUAAUGUUUGAAAUACAAAGAGGAAUUGAUUCAAGUU